AUUGAACGCUGGCGGCAUGCUUUACACAUGCAAGUCGAACGGCAGCGCGGGCUUCGGCCUGGCGGCGAGUGGCGGACGGGUGAGUAAUGCAUCGGAACGUGUCCUGUAGAGGGGGAUAGCCCGGCGAAAGCCGGAUUAAUACCGCAUACGAUCUACGGAUGAAAGCGGGGGACCUUAGGGCCUCGCGCUAUAGGGGCGGCCGAUGUCGGAUUAGCUAGUUGGUGAGGUAAAGGCUCACCAAGGCGACGAUCCGUAGCUGGUCUGAGAGGACGACCAGCCACACUGGGACUGAGACACGGCCCAGACUCCUACGGGAGGCAGCAGUGGGGAAUUUUGGACAAUGGGGCAACCCUGAUCCAGCAAUGCCGCGUGUGUGAAGAAGGCCUUCGGUUGUAAGCACUUUGUCGGAAGAAAACGUAGGUAAUAUCUUAUGGAUGACGGUACCGGAAGAAUAAGCACCGGCUAACUACGUGCCAGCAGCCGCGGUAAUACGUAGGGCGCAAGCGUUAAUCGGAAUUAUUGGGCGUAAAGGGUGCGUAGGCGGUUUGUUAAGACGGAUGUGAAAUCCCUGGGCUCAACCUGGGAACUGCAUACGUGACUGGCAGACUAGAGUAUGGCAGAGGGAGGUGGAAUUCCACGUGUAGCAGUGAAAUGCGUAGAUAUGUGGAGGAACACCGAUGGCGAAGGCAGCCUCCUGGGCCAAUACUGACGCUGAGGCACGAAAGCGUGGGGGAGC
Molecule: ribosomal RNA, 736 nt
Filed under: uncultured bacterium
Lineage: Bacteria
Description: bacterial SSU rRNA
Rfam family: Bacterial small subunit ribosomal RNA
Source: RNAcentral